RNAcentral lists this ribosomal RNA (492 nucleotides) under uncultured bacterium. Its description in RNAcentral is "partial 16S ribosomal RNA". It matches the Rfam family "Bacterial small subunit ribosomal RNA", at positions 29 to 507 of the family's 1533-position model. The record is from RNAcentral.
AGUGAAUGCUGGCGGUAGGCCUAACACAUGCAAGUCGAACGGCAGCACAGUAAGAGCUUGCUCUUACAGGUGGCGAGUGGCGGACGGGUGAGGAAUACAUCGGAAUCUACUUUUUCGUGGGGGAUAACGUAGGGAAACUUACGCUAAUACCGCAUACGACCUACGGGUGAAAGCAGGGGAUCUUCGGACCUUGCGCGAUUGAAUGAGCCGAUGUCGGAUUAACUAGUUGGCGGGGUAAAGGCCCACCAAGGCGACGAUCCGUAGCUGGUCUGAGAGGAUGAUCAGCCACACUGGAACUGAGACACGGUCCAGACUCCUACGGGAGGCAGCAGUGGGGAAUAUUGGACAAUGGGCGCAAGCCUGAUCCAGCCAUACCGCGUGGGUGAAGAAGGCCUUCGGGUUGUAAAGCCCUUUUGUUGGGAAAGAAAAGCAGCAGGUUAAUACCCCGCUGUUCUGACGGUACCCAAAGAAUAAGCACCGGCUAACUUCGUG